UCUAUCUAUCUAUCUAUCUAUUUUUACGCCAAAUAUUUAUGCCUGCAGUCUGCAGCGUUCUUUGAAUCUAAAAGAAUCAGCUCUUCCUAACAAAAUAUGCUGAGAACAGUCUGGAGGUUGUACCUUCACCUCUCCUUCUAGAUACAUCUCGUGCCUACAGACUCCAUGCCUUUUUGGUUUGCCUUAGCAUCUUUCUCAUAUAUUCUUUUCUGGUUUUAGUAUGGAUAGAUGAUUUCUGUGAGGACUGCAAUAUUUGACAAGACCCAUUCUUUCUUCAAUCUCUAUUUUCUCAAUCUUUUUCUUCUUGGAGACAUUGUCUUUGCUUACUUGUGGGCUUUCUGCAAAUCUUCCAAUUGUUUCCUUUCCUCCACAUAUACCCACCAGGCUUAUUUCUCUGCAAGUUAUUUCUCUGGACUUACAGUCCAGCUACUGUAUCUUAAUUAACUGUUCAUCAUUACUGCAGCAAAUGUAUACAUGCAUGUUCAGUGCCACAGCCAAGGCAAGAGCAUGCACAGCUGUAUAAACAUUGGUGAAUGUGGGCUAAGAUAAUUCACGUUACUUCACAUUCUGUAUGGUUGAAGAGUGUCCGUGGUGAUCAAGGAAGACUGAACCCUAUAUACAACUCAUCCUGUGUUUUGGCAUCCUAAGACCUCCCUGUUCUCAUUCCCUUCACCUCCAAUUCAUUCUGAUUGUGAUUAGUAAUUUUUUUUUUUCUUUUGUACUGGUGUAGUCCCACUGCCAACAGUGCUAUGCCAUAAAUUGCAUGAUCUCACUCCAAGCUCCUUUGCUUCCACUCUUAUGAGAAUGAAAAACACUUCAAUGGUAUGGAGAGAUAUUUACAGCUCAUGCUCUCUUUUUACUUUGUUUUCCCAUGGAAGUAUCCCUAAAGUUUUGCUAACAGUUAUUUGCAUGCAUGGAUAUGGAGACCUCCUCUUAGUUUGGUUUGCUCAGUGCCUUUAAUUGAUGUUACAAAUAGAUUCCCAUUGUUUAGUGAAGAACACAGGGUGUUGGGUUAUUUUUGUUGGGUUUUUUUUUUCCCAUAAAGUCUCUUUCUUACACGAUGCCCAUGCUAUAAGUGUCAGUAGCAUUUGCAUUUUUCACUCUCCAUAUCCCUUUUUUGUAAACAGCCUGAUGAAACCACUGAAGUUGGCACAUGUUUUAACUGAAUAGCCGCAGUGUUGUGCUGCCAUGCAAUGCUUUCCCCAUCCUCUUUCCCCACCCCAGAUGUCAUAUUCCCUUACAUGGACAUGUCCAAAAUGUGGUGAACCACUCCUGGCAGAAAGUUGGGCUACAGAUGGGAAGCAAAUGAGGACAACCUUCUCCAAGGGCAAAGCUGCUGUAGUCAAGGGGCUUUGUCUUUGUGACUCCCCAAAAGCUUUCAGGACAAUUUCAGCCUACAAAGACAUAUUUCGUCUUGGUCAUUUUUUGGGCACUUGAUUACAUAUAGUAAGAUUUUUGUUUUUAUGUGUGAUACAACUUUUUGUUGUUGUUGUUGUUGUUGUUGUUGUUCUAGGAACUCCUCAUUGUCGUCCGUUCCAGAGGGGAAAUCCAAAAAAUUUAGAUUUACUGGCAAUGUUAGAAGACAUUUGGGUAAAACUGGAGUUUAUCUGAAGUGGUUAUCUGAACUAGAUGAGAAGAAAGCAUACAGAUAUGAUAAUAAAAUACCAAAUUUCAUGUAAGGAUUCUGAGGGAUCUGGAUGUGAGUCUCAAACUUUUGAGAUGUGAGACUAUGUGGUUACAAAGUAAAAAAGGAUGGUGCACCUGGGAUCGAUAAAUCUUUUCAAUUUGUUAUUGCAUUUCCCUGAAAUGAGAGGGUUUGUUCUCUGCAGGGUGACAUGGAAGCUGCCAUCUCAUUGUAGAGCACCAUGGGCAGUGAAAGGAGAGACAAACUGCUCUUUUUGAUGAGUUGCUGGCUGUUCUCUCUGCCACUCACUUGGCACGGUAGAAAAAAACCCAGCCUGAUAGAAGGGCAGCAUUUUGUCUAUUAUUUUGUUAAGACAAAUUACCUGCAAACUGUAACUCAGCAGUCUGCUGAAAAUGCAGGUGAAAAACAGGAGGUGAUUUACUUCAGUGAAGCUGAAGGAGAACUCUGACUUCCUGCAGCAGGAAACCACCUCCUACUGAAGGAAGCUUGGAGGGCAACAUCUAACCCAGAUCAGGACUUCUGGUGGUCAGAAAGUGUUUUUAAGGGGGAAGGAAGGUGAGGGAGGGAGCAAAGCAGGGCUGAGUCUGGCACACAUGGCUGCUUUUUGUGUGGUACCAGCUCUGGGUUUCUCUAGGUGUGAGCAGGGCUGGGUGGGACAUGGGCUACCCGUGCAAGGGGUUACUUGCUCAACUUAUAAAACUGCUUCAGAUGACACCCUGGGCAGCAUGGCACACUGGUGCCACCCCUCCUGCUUCACAGCAUGGCUGCAGGGUUGCUGUGUGCUCCUGAAUGCUCACUUCCCGUGUAAGGCUUUCUAUCACAACCAAAAACUACCAGAAGGGAGAAAAGCUCUUUUCUUUUUGGUUAAAAAAAAAAAAAAAAAAAAAAAAAAAAAGAUCUAGGUAUGCAGCAUCUUACUGAUUCUUUCACAAAAAUCCAAUGGAAAACAGCUUCUCUAGCCAAGAGUUUGCCACCUGAGGUGAAAUCCAACUGAAAACUCUUUUAUGGAGAGCAGAGAUCACCUCACCUGUCUUUAACUACUGCUCUUAUUUAUGAUCAGACUGCUCCAUAAAUAAAUAAAUAAAUAAAUAAAUAAAAAGAAGAGCUGCCUGCUGACUGCUGCCUGUGGUGUGGUUUGGCCACAGCUGGGCCAUGAGCUGUGCACUGUGCAUCUCCCCACCUGCACCAUGCAGCUUGCUGUGGUGGGCUGCUGUGCUCUGUGGGGACGGAUGCUCUUUGCAUCACUGGUGGCAGCUGCCAGUUGCUGGGGGGCUGCUGGUUGCUUUCAAAUCCCAUGGAGAGGCCGGUGGUGGUGGUGGAAGGAAGGAGAAGGAGGGGAGGGAGGGUUCAUUCUCAAAAAGGCUGUUACUGUUUAACUCUAUGCAAACUCAGCUGCCACAAGCCCUCAUGCAAGAAGUCUGUUCUUCCUGAAAAUGUGGCAGUCCUUUCACAGCCCCUUCCAAAAUUUACUUGGAUGGAGCUGGACUUGGCCCUUACUCAGGAGGAGUGGUUGAGCAUUUUUUAAACCUGUUGUUCCUUAACUGAAAGGCUUUUUUCCUAACAGAAAAUAAGGGCCUUACACUGCCAACCUUUCUGCCUGCAAACUGGGAUUAUAAAUAGCUUCAGCAUUUUGCUCAUGUCUGCCAACACUGACAGUUAAAAAUUAGCUCCUGAUCUGGAGCUAUUCAGAUAUGUAAUGUUUAUAUAUCUGUUUUCCUAUCAGUGUCCAGCCCCAUGGCUUUCUCACAAACUCUGCUUUCUUUACCACGCAGGGUAGAAAUACACGCUGACCACGCAGACUGCUGGUAAAAUAUCAACUAGAGCAGCAGCAACCAGGUAUCUUGAGAUGAUGCAAUCCAUAGAAAUCACUCUGAGAUGUUAACCUGGGGCUGGGAGAGGAGUGGAAUAGCAGAUAUACUUUUGUGGUACUUAAUAUACAGAUGACAUUUAAGGCUUUCAACUGUUUUCUUUAAACCUGAUCUGAUUUUCUAAUUUCUAAACCUUAAAUUCCAGCCAAGGACAUCUCUGAGCUAAGAAAAAAACCAAAGAUUUUUACCCAGCAAAAUCUAGGACAGGUGACAAUCACAAAUUUAUUUUCAUACAACUACAAUGCCAACAGAGCCCCCUUCUCUCCCCUCUUCCAUUCCCUCCUCCCAAGUGUGCAUUUACAGAAAUCAAGGCCAGGUUGUUACAGGGGGUUUGAUUCUGUUCUCAUGGGCAGUGACGACAUGUUAGGAGGAACACUACAAGGUCCUGCGAGUCUGCACCAUGCUGAAAAUUGAAAGCUGUGGACUACAACAUGUGCUGCUGUUACAAAAGCAACAAUGAGGAGUGUGGCAGUCCUGCACAUCUCUGCAGCUGGCCACCCCUCAUCAGGCAAUGAUGCAGAAGCCAGAAAACAUUCACAUGUUCUCUACUUACACAAGUAAGAAUGGCAGUGGUGUUUUGUUCUUUGACUUUCCCUCAGCACUAAUUUGCUUUAACCCUUCGACUUUACUCAUCUCCUUGACAGCCAGUUCAUUUUUUGACAAAUAAAACUUCAGUUUUAUCUGGAUCAAGUCAAUUUUCUGUACCAUUUGCUGGGCUUAAAAUGCUACAGGUCUCUGCUUGAAUCACAAGGAGACAAAAGACAUCUCAUAUUUCAUGCCUGUUUAUGGUAGGACUAAUAUCAAGUUCUUUAGACAGCAAAACACAUUAGCUCAAAACUCAGAGGACUAGAAAAAAUUACUUUGCCUGAUUAGCUUUAAGCUGACAUGUCUGAAAACAUCAAACAAGAAUCAGCCUGCUUUUGAAAUUUGUUUCCAGUUAUAGAAAAUGACCUUCUUAAUUCCCAGCAGCAUCACAUCCUAACUUAAAAGAGCUACCCUUUCCUCUCACAUCCACAAAGGUGCUCCCACAGACUGAUGUGUUUGAUAACACUGAUGGAGAUCCCUGCUGAAAUCCUCCCAUCCAUGUUAAGCGGGAUGGGGAAUCAGAAUAAUCUUAACAACCUUUUUUUGUGUGUAUGUGUGGCAGGCCCUCCCAAUAGAGGCGAGUUAUCUGUGGGGUGAAGAGGACUCCUUCUGUGCAUGAUAUUUUGGCAUUGGAGCGCUCCACAUCCCAAAAUAGAAGAUCUUUCAAACAGUUUUUCAGAUAUUUCAGACAUUUCAAAAUAUUCUGGCAGAGGCUGUAUUUGUUUCCAGAGGAUCACAGAGUCGCUGAAUGGUUAACGCUGGGAGGGAUCUCUGGAUGUCUUAUGAUCCAAUGCCCCUGUUUGAGCAGGGGCUCAUCUCUCUGUUACAUGAACCAAAUGAUGUACUGUUAUCAUAGCAGAGAAGUAGUGAGUGGCCUCAUCCCAGACUCAAGUAGAGGCAGAGCACAGGUCUACUGGCCCAGGCAGGUUUGUCAACCGAACUGGUAGACAGCAACUUCCAUCAUGGUUUUCUCUUUUUUUGCCAUGUUAUCUUCCUGGAGGACAAUGCACUCACUCCUCUAGAAAGAGAGCUAGAAAGCCAUCUCUGCCAGACCAUGUCUUGGGUUUCAGACAUUGGAAGCCCAAAGGCAAAGAUUUUUCCAUUGCAAGGAGUGGACAUUUCUCCACUUGCUUCCACCAGGGACCAGCUGUUAAGCAUGUGUGUGUACCAUGAUACACCUGCUCUUACUGCUUUAUAUAUUUCAAGAACAAUACACUGAAUAAAAGUUAUUAUUAAUAGGUUCUAUUAUUUUUGCUGAGUGUUCAAUGCUUGAGAUUUGUGCCUUAUUUUUGCUGAGUCUUGAGUUCUUUCUUGGUUAAACUUUAUUUGGUUGACCGGGGAAUAGGAACAGAUAACCUUCUGCUUGUCGUCCUUCCCCUCUGUUGGGGACAACCUUCUCACACCAAAAGGGAAGAUGGGAAAAGAGAACUGGAAGAUUCCCAUGCUAUUACAUUGGUAGUGGAUGACUGUGCUUAGAGGUACUUUGAGGUUUCAGGGAUAUCCCUGCCAUACACAUAAUGAGCAGGGGAAAUGGAAUCUCACUGAUAUUAAAACAGAAUUUAGUACAUAACAAUUUUUUGUUUGUUUGUUUGUUUGUUUGCAUAUUAUCAUUUAAUACCUAAUUCUGCUGCUUGAUAACUCUCUGGAAGUGGAGUUCUCACCUCUUUGUGAGGUUAUAUCUUUUGAUAUAACCAGGCACUGACAAGCACAGCAUGUCAGAGCUGAGAUUUCGACAUACUCAGUGUUGCCUUGUAGAUAUGCACCUAAAUUUCCUUCUCUGUUUUGCUCAUGCAAAGAACUAGAGUAUUGAAUGGGUAGGAGUCCCUAUCUUGGUCUUGCAUGGGCUCUCUGUAGAAGAAGUAGGAGGCAGAGGAAGGUAAGAAGUUAUUCAAGACUAAGCAAAUAUGAAAAAUAAAUCAGUGGAUAUUUCCUUUCAGGGCUGUGAAGCCCAACAGCAUUACUUUAAACUGGAUAACCUUCUCUCCAGCCUUCGCAGCAAUUUCAAACAGGUCACCUUAGCUCAUACUUCAAUAGACCAAAUUCAUAUAAGGAGGCAAAGCAGCAAGGCUCUUCCAACAACAUGAAGUUUACACAGUGUAAAACAAGCAGCCAGUGUUUUUUUUUUUUUUUUUUUUUUUUUUUUUUUUUUUACAGUGACUGUUCUGUGCAUUUGUUUUUUUUUAAUCCCUGUUGGCAAAAAUAUAAAUGGACAGGAUUUUAGAACCAAGACAUUAAUACGCUUCCCUCAAAUUCUCUACAACCAAUAUUCCGAUAUUUACUCAUUCAGGAUAACCAGGUCAAUUGUUUUUGGCACAUAUCCACAAGCAUCAGUUCCUCUGUCUGGUAAAUGCUGUUUUUGUAGCAGUCGGCAGGGCUGCUGUCUAGCCCACUUCCAAAACAUCCUGGUAGAAAACAAAGAGCAGAUUUAGCAAAACAGUAAAGUUUACUUGGAGCUACAGCCACCAUCUGAGGCAGGUGAUUGCAUGCACAUAAAUGAGUACAGUGCACUGGUAAAAAUAUCUACAAAGGCAAUAAAUAAUACUGGUUUACAAUAGGUGGAAUUCCUUCCAAUGUUACAGUUUAAAUUAAGACUCAUGAUAUAUGGUCUGACCGCAACCUUCAGCACAGAAUUAAAUUUCUUCUGAUGACCUGCUUCAGUUUUGGCCUUAUCCUUGAAAUUUAUCUGUCAAAUCCUAGCUACAGCAUCCAAUAUUUAAUUUGAAGGCAUAUAGCUGCUUUACAUGUUGUUUGUGGUGACAUUUCUGUCCAGCUAUCAGAAAUGCAAUGCCUAGAACAGUCAAUUCACAAUGAAAUAAUAAUGCUAAAUUUGUAAUUAAUUUGCAAUGAUUAUACAGAUAUCAAUAUAAAAAUAGACCGAGAACUCACUAAGCUUAGAAGGAAGUGUGCUUUAAUUUUUAGCCCUGAAAAGUGUGCAGACAUCUUUUGAUAGCAGCCUGUUGUACUUGAGAUGCUCGAGUAAAUGAUUACCAGUAUUUUUCUAAGCCACUUUGUAAUUAUUUUUUUCAUUGAAAGUGUUUAUCAGAUUUUAUUUUAUAGAAUAUGUCAAAGGAUGAAAUAAAUCCAUGUUCCUAGGACUAUAAAAAUGGCUGAUUUUGCAUUUAAAUUUUACGUAUGGUAUCAAAACCAGUUUGGUAUCAAACUCUGUUUGAGUUCUAUAUUUGCAUUAGUAAUCUAAUGAUCUAAAUAGUGCUUACAUGAUGCUGCACUGGAUCUGGUCAUUACAACUCAGGCAAGAGAUCUUGGAACAUUGCUGCGCCAAAAUCAACUCAGUGUGCAGCAAGGCCAAAUAAGCCAUCAAAAUGUUGGACAUCAUCAGGAAGGAUACUGGCAGCAGAACAGGAGUUACGAUUUUCUGCUUUUAAAACCUGAUGUGCACCAUCUUAACUACCAUGUGCAGUCCUGGUCUUUAUGUCUCAAGAAAGAUUCAGUGGAGGUGAAGAAGGCACAGAGAAGGGCAACUAAAAAGAUCAAGGAGAUGGAGCAGCUGCAUAAAUAGAGGAGACGGAAAAUAUUGGGACUGUUCAGUUUGAAAAAGAGAAAGUUGAAGUUUAUACUGAAAUGAAGGUGAUAGACGCAUUGAAUGUGGAACUGUCUGCACUACCUCAUGAAAAUUGUAAAUCAGUUUAAAAUUAGCAAAAGAAAGCACUUAUUUCUACAUUAGGUGGUAAACUUCUGCAGCUUGCUGCAGGUGGUAUCAACAGAUUGAGAAAGAGAAAAGACACCUAAGACACAUUCAUGGGUACUAGAGGCAAGAGGUAAGGAGGUAAGGAGGUGCCAUCUGACAUCCCUAAGAGGGGGAAAAGACAACAGUGUCCUCACUCCUGUGCACCUCUCAAACAGUAACCAUGUUUUCAAUGCUGAAGGGAGAAUACUGUGUGACACGGAGCAGUGGUCUUAGAGGGACGCUCGUUUGCUUUUAUGUUUUAAGGUUGCUGUCUGCGCUGAAGAGAAGUGGUGCUAGUUGCAUAACUUUAAAGCAGAAACUGAUCAAGCUGAUGGUGCAGCAGGAUGGAUUACUGAAAUAGUAGCUGGAAAUUUUCCCUCUAGGAAGGGAGAACAUUCAUGGAAAUGCAGAGCUUUUUACAAACAACAGACUUUCUCCCAUUUUCUCACCGUUGUUUUGAAAUGUUAAGUAGUGACACAUAAACCAUCCAACUGUAAAGAGUGAAAUGUCACAAUACCAUAUCUCCAUAAAAUACAGAUAAAUGUGUAUCCUUUGUGAGUAGAGAAGUUCUUAUGGAGUACUUUCUUUCCUGUUCUUUUUCAUGUACUUGCCUUGGUGUUGGUAAGUGAAGAACACUAUGCCUGCAAGCUCGUAUAUUCCAUUUGCCACCAAGUCUACCUGCAAACCUGGUCUAGUGGAUGGUGUCCCUGCCUAUAUCAGGGGAAUUGGAACUGGAUGAUCUUAAAGGUCCCUUCCAACCCAAACCAUUCUAUGUUUCUAUGAUCUCUUGUAAACACCAUCUAGCUCAUCUCCCUGAAUAUCAGAGCAGUUCUGUGAAAAGCGCUGCCUAUCCUUGGUUAUAAGAGAAGAAAAGCAACCAGAAGAGUGAAGUAGCCCAAUUCAUGAAAACCCAUUGAUGUCUGUUGCUCAAAUGUUUUAUGAUAGCAUUUCCAGACCUUUGUUUUUUGCACUUCAUACUUGUAAGGAUUGGGGCUUGUUUGCUCAUGAUCUUUUUCCAUGCAGAAGGUACACAUGGCCUUUUCCUUUCUUUCCCUCAUGCACACUGUAACACUUGUUAAAUAGAGGUCAAUCAUCCUAGAAUUUUCUCUCAGCUGCCCUAUAAAUAAUAAAUAAUAAACAAAGCUGCGUGAAGCUAGGCAUGAAGGAUACUGGUGGUUUGCCAUUAAUCUUUCAAGCAGUAGCCAGCUAUAUCCUGUCAGUUGUUGUGUGGUUUGCUAGAUAUAUUUUAUGGUUGUCUGAUUGGAUACCUUUUGUGUUCUCAUUGCAUGGGGACCAUUAAAGCUCAUUUCAGGUGAGACGCUUGUGCGUUUGGUGACAAAGACCAGCUGAAGGAUAUACAGUCAGCUACCAGUGCAGCUGACCUGGAUUCUUAACAUUUGUUAUGCUUUUUCAGACUUUUGCCAAAGACCUUAGAUUUUGCAGUUUCCUAUUUCCAGCCUGGUGCCAAGUGCUAUUCAACUGCCUCUCUCAGCAGAAACCCAGAGUUAUGAAUCCGUAUGCCAUUGCUUCCAACUGCAAAUAUCCUAACAUAGUGGUUUCCAGUCUAUGGCGCACUAAUGCAGAAAUCAUACUCUGUGGCCUAUGUCUGUGUGGUAAAGAAAUAUUUGAGAAAUUAAAUUCAAAAGAGAACAGCUCACUGUUCUGAGCCAAAGAUGUUUCAAAAAAAUAAAGACUGGGCCUUCAUAUAUGAAAUUUAUCACACUGUUCAAAUCUUCAGUAGAAAAUACCAGGUGAACUGAAAAUUGAAAAAACCUUACAAACCACAACAGUGUUCUUCCUGCUUGAUGUUUUGGGGUUGUUUUUUUUUGGUGGUUUGGGGUGGCUUUUUUUUUUUUUUUAAUUUGUUUUGGUUGCUGACAAUAUGACAGUAUUCUGCUUUUGGUCUAAUAUGUUAGGUGUUGAAAAAUAAAUAGAACUGUUUAUUCUAUAAGCAGUGGGGGUAGAGUCCUGCUGGAGACCCUCAGCAGACCCCAGUGCCCCACUGACCUUCCUGAUUCCACUGUUCCUGAGACAACUUUGCUGCCGCUGAGCUGAACAGGAAAAUAGCAACAGGACUGUAAGGUAUGUCUGUGACAGAGCAGCUGUCAAAGUGCAGCACUACGUGUUGCGGAUUUCUUUGUAGAUCUGCCAAGAGCUGGCAUGCUGAAUAGAUAAAUCUAUGAUUCUUAGAGCAGUGCGUCACAGUGACCUUGGACAAAAGAUCUCUGGGUCAAAGUGUGGCAGCUGCUGCAGCCCUUUGCUUUCCAGGCUCCAGAUCUGUUUUAUUGUAUUUCAUGGGGAUAUUUGUGUAACCCAGAAGCAGUCAUGAAAGAGGCAGGGUUUCUGCUGGUGCAUGAACUGAACUCUUGUUUACCAUUUGGACAAAUCCUACCUUUGGAUAAGCCUUUGGACAUGGUAUCUUAAACUACAGUAGAUCCAGUGAAGGCAGAAAGUGGCCAUCUGGACUCUGCAGGUGAGAUUUAUCCAUGAGCCAAAGCUAACAUAAAUCUCAGACUUAUGCCUUUCUUUGGAAUUUCAGCAAUGCUUCGCAGAGCCAGUUCCAGGCUUCUUGGCAAUGCCGGCCAAAGAAAUAAAUAAUUUAAAAAAUGCCUCCUGCCAGAGAGCAGAGCUAGAGACAAAAUGGACCUGGAACUGAGAAAUGUGGGGAGCUGCUCCCAUUUCUGUCAGAAGGGCAGAGGGUGGCCGUGCCUAUUGCUGCCAGACAUCCUCUCCUGCAUGCUCUCUGGCCUUGCAAAGGGAGCAGAAACAGGAAGCUGGCUCCAGCAAAGCUGCAACUGCCAAGGAUGUUGUGUCACUGCCUGCAGUUAUUGCCAGGCUUUGCUCACAGUCAGCAAGCUGAGCUGCGCCAACUUGGAGACAGUGGCUCUCACAAGGGUGAAUUUCACCCUGCCCAUACACAGGUGCUCUUCCUACAAGGCACACGAAAGGAUUUUGUAGCACUGAGGUUUAGUUUGUGUUUUAAGCUUGGGUUUUGCUGUUGAUGGGAAGCGGCUUUUCCUCUUCAGUUUUGUCAUUCUGUGGAACAACUCAUGGCCACCAUCUGUGUGGGCACAGAUACUAGACCAUGACUUGCAAGAUCUGAGCUCAUUUCCUGCAUCAAGCCAUAGAUUUUUUGCAUGACCUAAGGAAGUUACUUCAACUCAUCCAGGUAUCACUUCUCCACUUACAUGAAGCUUUCAGCUUCAGUGGAAUUUGUUAUAAUAACCCCACUGAGAUGUGAAGGUCUAACAGCAGAAGCCAUAAUGAAGACACUGUGGUUACCUAGCAGGCUCAGUGCAACCACUGUUGGUUUCACUGGAAGCUGCUAUGAGUUUAAAAAUUGCGUCCCUCUGACUUUUCCCACAUAAAUCCUAGAAGUUUGAGCCAGUGACUACAAUGUGGGCCACUGACAAUUUAUUAAUAAUGUUUCUGUCCCUCCCUGCUAGGAUCAGUGAUUCAAAUGCUGUAAAAUUUCCCAAGGGAGUCGAGCUGUCAGCAAUGAGUGGCAAUUCAUAGAACUAAUACUAAAAUAAAGCUGGUAGGGGUUUAUUAUUGUCAGUGUUAAAGCAGACAAGUGGUAGAAGGUGGGUGCCCGAGGCCAUGUGACACAGAGCAACUGGAAGAAGCAUCUUGGGCAGUGGACCAGACUGGUGGUGCUGUGACCCUCAGAGCUCAUUAGGUAAGAUGUUUGCAGUUUCCCAAGAUAUCUUGUCUCACUAUCACUGUGUUUUCUUUUCCUCUCUGCUGGCUGGAUUGGAUCCUCCCUGCCUCUCCCCUGUUCAAGCUGCAAAAGUCAUAUUCCUUUCACAUGCAGUAUGUUCCUUGGAGGUGACCUGUCCCUCCCUCUGUGCUGCUGGUGACAGGAAAGCCUCUGUCCCUCAGCAGAGCCAUCCCAAACACAUCUUCCUGUUAGCUCCUGCAGCACAGUGCAUGCUUGUGGGCAGGAAGAUCAGGUGUAUGUGUCCGGGGAAGAGAUGAGGAGCUAUGGACAGGGACCUCGGGUGGAAGCUAUCUCCUUGGCUCAGAUCACUUCUCCAGCUUUGCACCCUUGGUGCUCACUGUACUGAUAUAGGGCAAGAUUCUGCUCAGCUAUACCACUGGCCUUGCUGAAAGGAUGAUAAUGGCUGUCUUAUCCAAGUCCUUGUGCCUACACGUAAAAUGUAGCAGUUUUGGACUACCUUGAUUUUCAUGAGCUGUGUCUACAAACAAACAAACAAAACAAACAAACAAUCAAAAAAAGGCCAAAGGAAACUUAUAUGGGGGCAAAUAUGUUGUCCUCAUGAUACAAAGAAACAUCUCGUUUGCUGACUCAGCUAUUUGUGGUGCAAGGAAAGGGAAAGGAUUCAUAGCUAACAAACGAUUUCUAACAAAAAUCUAAAUUUUGAGGAACUCUUUGCCAGUGCCUUUCAUAUCGGCCCACAAAUUAAGCUGUAGACGUAUCUUUUUUUUAUGAAUAUGAAAAUUUCCUUAUAGAAAGAUUCCCCCUCACUCUGUGAUCGGGUGGGACAGAAUCAGAGCUCUUCGGAAACCUGUUGCAUGCGCAGCCCCCUUGGUGGGACUAUUUAAGUAGUCAGCAUCAUAAAGCAUCCCUAGAAAGGGGAUUGUUGCUGCUAUUUUAAAAAAUGUGUUAUUAUUUUGGAUAUCACAGUUCUGAUUACUUCCAGUGUGAGCGAUGUUCCAGAGGCCAGACUUUGUGCAUGCCCUUGCACUCACUCUCCAAACACAAUUGUGUUGUUGUCAGAUAUGCAAUAGAGGAGGCACUCAUAUUCAGGAAUUGCAUGUGAAAAAUUUGAAUCAUGUUGGACAUUCAUAGAAAUAACAUAGAAAGAGGAGUUCAUCUUUUAAAACUGGGGGGAAAAAAAAGCCCUUUUUGAGUAGUGUUUUGAAAGCAUCCUCAGAAUGGACAAGGCAACCCUCGCAAAAUGCUGUCUGUAAAACAGCAAGAACAAGUCAGAUAAUAAUCUAUUGCUCUUCUUUAUGAGAGGUAUGCUGGGUAAGUAGAAACAAAAUGAACCACAGAAUUAUGCCUUUAUGGCAUCAGAAAUGUCACCCCUAGGAAAUUAAAAGCCGCGCACAAUUGCCAGCAUUAAUCCCUGCCCUGGAUGCUGCAAAAAGACCCCUGAGUUUCCCUUUGGCAGAACUUCAAUUUCUUGAUGAUUUUUUUGUGUGUGCACAGCAGUGCCCCAGUUGACACAUCUGGGUCUGUGCCCUGUCUGUACCUGCUCAGCGGGAAUGUAAACACGGCACAGACACUGCUGCCUUUAGCUGCAUGAUCUCCUCACAUCGGCCAAGGGGAAAUGAUAGCAGUGUUUCUUCUGUCUCUACACUGUGAGCGCAUGUUUUGUGGCAGAAGAAGGAAAUGGUACUUUUUGCAGGUGAGCUACAGAACAGAGAAUGAAAUCCUCGUGACUCAGAGAAAGGACAUAAAGGAAAGGUUAAAUCUGCAAAAGUGCCAUUCAUUCACUGUUCAGCUAAGGAGGCAGUAAAGAAAGUCUCUCAGACAGAUAACGUGACUGCAGCCACGUUAUGUUGGCUUUUCUUUGUCUUGCCCGGUUAAAGCUAUCAUGCUACACACAAGAACUGAUAUGGAAAGGUCAGCUACAUUGCUUAGGUGAGAACAGAGCAGCACUAGGGCAUUUCAGCAUGUUGCAGAUGCCUACCAGACAAGGGAACUGCUGAGAGUUCACAAAGAACACAUCUCCUCAAAGCUCAGUAAUGUGUCUGGGAAAUCUUGCUAAAUUUACCAGUGUUUCUUGCUUGAACUGUGUCCUGAUGUUCAAAGGAAGGCUCUGAGUAAGGACAUCUAUUGCCCAUUUCUAAUUCUGGCUACUAAUUUUGAAAAAAAAAUCACUUUUCCUCGUGUCUGACUUCUCAGUAAUUUCAGAGUACAUGUGUGAAUAUACAUGUGGUCAUAAAAAAGACUUUUGUAACUCUUGGCAAAGAGCCUUUUUUCCUAUGGAACUUGGGAGAUGCUUGUGGAAGAGCCGGAAACGUAUCUUGUGUUUUACUUCUUUGUCCUUUGAAGACAGGAGUACUGCAGGAAAUACAGCUACCAGUUUCUGCUUCACAGUGCUUUUCUUCACUGUGCCAGUGCUAUGGCAGUAAUUAAAAUGACAGAUAAAUAACAUUCACGUUUGUUCUCCAAGCCCAGCAAUGGGAAAACUCUGCACAGCCCAAGUUAGAGCUGCAUGAACUGCAUUGACCCCUGCCUACACCACUUCAUCUACCUUAUGGGAGGGUUAUGUAGUUGAUUAUUAUUGCUAUUUGGAACAUGGGGUUUGUUUAAUGCAGCAUUUUGAGAGAAAAAAAACAUGUACUUCUCUGGGCAUACUCCUGUUCCUGCAAGGACAAGAGAACUUAGCUUCUUUUCAAUGGGAAUCCUGCUGUUUAUUUAAUAGCAGGUGGGAUUAAACCCUGCAAUAGGUCAAAGUGGGAGGAUCUGGAGUGACAUUCAGGACAUAUGUAAGCAUUUACUGGUGUGGUGUCCAGGUUCUCUAUGCACCACCAUGGUGUUUUGUUUUUGAGAGCGUGGGGAGGAGCAGAUAGCACGUGCAGCCUUGUUUCUUCAGUAUCAACAAGAAGCAACUCAGUUCAUCCUGUCAGAGGGAGAGCAGUUGGCGUAACUUAUCCAGCAGAACAGCUGAUACUGUGAAAUGUAUCUGAGAAUUAGUCAAACAGACCAAGAGUGAGUACAGCCUGCGGUUUAAUGACAGCUGAGCAAAGGUUCUCAUUGUACUAACAACAUCCUGUGUCUCUGUGGCAGUGAUGUGGUAUAUGCACACGUACUCUUUUGCAGUCAAUAACUUCUCAUCAGAUUUUCACACCGGCUGAUUUGGCUGUUAUUUAACAAGUGUGUUUUCCUCUUCCUGCCUUGCGUUUAUUUUUGUUGCUGUUGUUGCAGAAGUAAAAUCAUCUCACAUUUUCUCAGAAAUUCUUCAGAGUGCUGCUAAUGUUUUGCUUGAUGUUUUGCUGAAAGAGGUUUUGCAGGGACUUUUUAAAUGUCACAUCUGUUCUCAAAGUGCAUUUACUUAAUUGGCGUACAGUGCUGGAUGGCAUUCAGUACCUACACACGUACCAGCUAGGUACAAAGCUGCAUGGCUUGUCAGAGCAUACCUGAAAAAGAAACAUGAGCUCAGCUUCCUCUAGAAGUGUGGCAAGCUCUGAUGAUAUGGGAGAUAGCACAGCAGGGUGAUGCUCAUGGCAAGUGAUGGACACAGGUCGUGCUUGGUGGUGCCAAACAGAAGAAGAGGAAAUCUUUUCCAUGAAAAAAAAAAUCCUCUUACAUUUGGUGACCUUUCUGCCUGAAUAAAAACAAAAUCAAUAGUGUUAACAUCUCCUGUAAUGUUUGAUCUUUUCUUAUGUCCUUGAGAUUUCUUACGCAUAGGUAUUACAUUAUGUAAUAUAUUUUAUAUUUAGCAUACAAAUGAUGAAACGCAGCUUUCCCCAAUACCUCUUAUAGUAGAUAUCAACAUGCUUAAUCAGUGAGAUCAUCUAUCAUCCCCAUUUAAAGGGCUGGGAAACAGAGAAAAAUAAAAUGGUGUGCCACACAGGCCAGAAAUGCAGUGGCAAAGCCUGGAAUAAAAUUAGGUCUCAUUAGUUGUAGCCCAGUGGUCUCUUUGCUAGGAAAUGAUGCCUCCUUAUUUUAUAGUACAAAAAUAUAAAAACGUAGAGCAGCAGCACUGAAUAUAUUAGAAAAGGCUUGAAAGAAAGCAGUGGGAAAAUGUAAAAUCACACAAUAAAUUUGGAAACAAAACCUCUUCUGAAAGAAAAGGCAAAACGAUCUGUUCAAGUAAUGACUUUCACAUUCCACUGUGCUUGUUUUUCCGAAAACAAUCCACGAUUCCCAUAGAUUCCUCUAUAUUCUGCAAUCUAGUACUGAUAGAAGUGUGUUUUUUUCAUUGGAAAAAUGUUUUUUUUUUUUGACCGUUUUCACUUGCUGUAGAGGAAGAGAAGGAAAGUACGUAAAGCCAGCAGGACUGCUGGGAGGCCAGUAGGUUUUUCUUUUUCUAUGUUUUUCUUUUAUUUUGUGAGCUUUACAAAUGUGCUGUAAGCUUAGUUUAUGCUUCAAACGCAUUUUGUCUGGCAAAUCAUAACUGAUGCAAUAUGAUUUGAAAGUCUCCGCCAUCAUGCAGAAAUUACAAUUCUCUCCCCAGGGACCUUCCCCAAAACAUAAAGCAGAGCCUUCCUCCUCAUUAAAACAUUUUAUUGUGUGAAAAAUGACAAUGAGCCGUAAAAUCUGGAGGGAAAUGAUUGCUGCACACUAACAUAUGCUCAACGAUUUCAAUACCAGAGCGUGUGGAGGCUGUCAGUUGCACUUCAAGAUGAGGAAAUGAGCUUCUUGAUCUUGUCCGGAUGGAGGGCAAUUUAGAGGGACAUUGCAAGCAGAGCAGUUGGGCCCUGAAUGCCUUUUUUCAACACAGCAGCAGGAUAUCCAGCAAUCAGCAGUACGACGGCACUAGUUUGUUUUGUUUGCAAAAGCAUGUCUUACUGUCCCUUCGCUAUUCCUGCUUCACUUUUCUUAAAGCCGAUGAGAAUAAUUGUGGCUGUUAUUAUUAUGUACAAAAACGGCACAGAAAGAAGAUAAAGGUUGCCUACUCAGGCACUCAGAAGUUAGAAAAUAAUGGGAUUACUGUUGCCUUGACAACAUUUCCCUCUCCUUCCCCUGCCCCCAGUUUCAUUCCAGGAAACGGCUGAGGCACUUUGCUGAAACUCUGCAAAAUAAUUAAAUAAAAGAUUCAGCCAAAGAGAGACACCUGGCUUGGAAAACUUCCCCCUCCACACAUCUGACAAAACGAUAAACAGAUGAAAAGCAGGAUUUUUUGAACAGAAGAAGAAAGUAAUGCUGAUUGUACUAGUAGCUCCAUCUACAUUUUGUUGUUGUUGUUGUUCUUUUGCUUUAAUUUACACUACAUCCCUGCAGGCUGUUUCUGGAGCAUAUCCCUUUGUUCUGCAAGGCACAGGAUCGUGUACACAGCAGCAGGAGGGGGCUCAGUUUCCUGCUGCUGCUCAUGGGAGGAGGACUUCCCACCCCAGGAAAGAGAAGACCAGGGGAAACUUGAGAAGGCUGCGAUGACACUGGAGGCACAGCUUCAGGGCUUUUAGCACUAUGCGUCACAUUCGUGUGACCCAUGACCAACAUGUAAUGUUGUGCCUGACGCACGUGAAGAGCUCUGCCUCUCUGGAGAGCGUCACAGAGGCUGCAGGGGUCCGGAGCUGGCAGCCCCCUGGGGCAGACGACAGCACCCUGUGACACCUGGUGCGUCAUCUGCAGCUGAGCUCCCAGUAAGGUCAGGCAGGAGACUGAUAAAUGACCCCACCUUGUCAACACCACCGUCAUUAGUGCUGUUAUCACCCUGCGAAUGGGAACGUGAAGGAAUUCAUAUCCCUGCCCUUGCCAAAGCUGGAGAGCAAGUGGGAACAGGAGCUGUGGAGGUGACUGUUCACACCACUUACAUUCUCCUGCAAAGCAGCACAAUGUUUGGUUUGUUAACCAAAGGGAUUUUGUAGCUGAUCAUUAAAUAUUAUUUCAGAUUAAUGGAAUUUAUAGGCUGUCUGAUGACGAUGAGAUUUCUUUCAAAGGAGGGACAAAAGACUUCAGCAUGCACUGGCAUGGCUAGAACACUAACAAAUCACUAGCGUGGUGGAAAGCCCAGAAAUGCUCUCAUGCCCCUUUUCUCAUGCAGCCUGUCUGAACUAACAGCACAUCCAAAAGCGGCAGGUAAUGUAGCCUGCACAGGGGCUGGAAAUGGACCCACCUGACCACGUUGAUUUUGACAAGUAACUUGACAGCACUGUGAGUGGCAGGAGCAGUGUGAUUUAUUCAAAAGUUGACUACUCUGGAAAAAAAAAAAAGAAACACAACUAAAUUUGCAUAUAAUGAGAUGCAUUUUAAAAUCAAAACAAUUAACAGCUAUGUUAUUUUUUCUUCCUUUGCUUUUGCUUGGAGCACGGUUAACCCUGAUGCUUAAAAUUCCCUUUGAAUGCCUUUUGGUGGGAAUCUGAUGGGAUGCAGGGAGCCUGGCAGCCCCUCCAAAUACCUCCAUGUACAACCAGCAGUGUUGGUGGAGUCUCGUCAGCACAUGGGAGACAUAAGGAGCUGGCCAAUCUGGCCCAUCAAGUCCUGGUUUGCAAACUCUGCUCAACUAAGUGAUACCAACAAUUGGAUCCACAGGUCUUGACUGGUCUGUUUGUGAAAAUUAUCUAAAGUGACAAGCAAGGUCUCUCACGACUGACUCAUAUAAGGUGACUGGCUCAUUCUUGUAUGGGGUGUGCUGGGUGUUACAGCUAUUGCUGACCUCAGACUGAGCACUGUGGCCUUUUGGUUCAAAAACAUAUGCUUCAAUGAGAUGCUCUGUGAGUUUGGUAACCUCGGUAUUCUAUGAGAAGUGUUUGAUUUCACAGAGGAAAGCCUAAGGACACUUGAAAUGUCUUGUUUCUGCAACUCUGAACCAGUUUCUUGUCAUCAGGUAACACCUGGUGCUUUUGUCAGUGCUAAGCAGCACGUUACAUUCUAUACUCUAAAAUGUUUGGAUCAGUUAUGCAUGGAUGCAAGAAAAUAAAACCCCGCUGUAUAUCUUUGCUUACUAUCUGUCCUCUGUCCCUGUCAUUCUAACACGCAUUUCAAAAGAAGACAGUGCUCUGCUUUCCAGUCAAAAUAUUAAAGAAUGCUUCUAAAAUACUUUAGUUAUAAAUAUGAAAAUGUUAUGUAAUGUGAGAUAUGCUACAGACUGCAGCUUGCGUAAUACAAAGGAGCAACCUCAGCAGAGAAGUCCAGAUGUACACUGUCUAAAAAUCUGGCCUAUAAAUUGGUGGUUAAUAAACACGGAAUAAUGUAUCAGGUAUUCAGCUAGGAGCACCAGGCUGCUAACAUCUGCCGUGAAGUGAAACUGGUUGUUCUCAACUCAGUACAUACAUGUGCUUUCCUGUACAUUCACACAGAGAGCUGGAUAGUGGCUCUAUAGGUGGCCAAAACAAAAGCUUUCUCCAACAAAGGGGAAUGAUCUGUGAUGGAAUUAUCUCUGGUAUUGGUACUGCAGGUUCCCUCCAGCACUGUGAUAGUUUUGAAAGCAUAAUGCAGACUGGUCUUGAGUAAGGACUAUUUUUUGCAACAGAACAACACAUGAAAAUCUAAAUCAUGCUGUAAAUUUGGGAACAAAAUGCACUUAAUCAGGACAUAUAGCCUGGGAAAUGCUCUCUGUUGUAUUUCACACUGAUGAGAGCUUCUCUUGAUUUGAUUUGUGUGUAGUGGAGCUUCACCAGAAAGAUUACAGGAAGUCUUAGGGCAAAUCUGCAGCUGAGACAUAGGUGUAGAGGGAUUUUCAGCCAGAAUAUCACUGACAAAAAUGUUUUGGCUAAAAUUAUUUUCCCUUACUGUGACUUCUGUCAGGGAAGACAGCAGUGUAGCACUGUCAUGGCACCCAACAGCAAAGAAUGCCACCACAAAGGAAAAUAGUAUUUACACUGAAAGGGAAAAAUUAGUUAAUGACCUGGUUUAAAACAGGAAACAAGGUGUCACGUUCUGUUCUUUGAAAGUAAAAAUGAUAAGAGCUUUGAUGAGUGGACACCAUAAUAAGGGCCUUGGUUUUAUGUCGCAUCCAGGUGCAGCUCCUCACCCUAUACAGCCAUCCAUCCAUUUCAGCACAGAGCAGUCCUUUUUUUUCAUCCUGGACCACAGGAAGGGACGUUGCCAGGCAGGGAACUUGUUCCCUCUGGCACAUGCUGUUAUUACUCCUCCUGGACAGCAUUUUCUUCCUCUCUUUUUCUAUUUCUUUCCUGCUUUUAGGUUCAGCAAUCCCUUUUUUACAUCUAGAUCAAACUGUCUUCCUUGUGAUGCUGUAGGUGGGACUCAGCUCUCACAAGGCCAAAAGAGCUGUGGGUCCCCCACAGGACAGGACCAGAAAGGCAGAGGGGCAAUGUUCCUACCCACUGGUGCUAUUGCUCAGGGAUGUCCCUGGUUUCUGCACUUAUAUCUAAAUCUACACUGGAGGCUCCAAGCCGGAGCCCAGUCACUUCACAUGGGGUUGAAAUCAUUAAGGUGCACAUUUCAGUAUUGUCAGGAUUUGGGAACAAUUACCCAUCUGUUGUUAAAUCUAAUAGCAAUUCUGUUUCACAGUCUGUUGUAAUUUACUCCCUGGUUAUUAUCAUAACUGAAUAAAUGACUCUGGCAUGUCUUUGAACUCCCAGCCCUUUGUUGCCACCUCCCAGAGGAGAGGCAGUUACCUGCCAUAUAAUUGCUCUUAAAGUAUCUAAGAGCAAUGUCACACAAACUUAAAUUGCUGCCAAAGGUUUGCUUGUUUGACUUUGUCCGCAAAGGGGUGUGUGUGUUUGUACAGCAAGUCACGCUUGUCAGCUGGGAGGAAGUAAACACCUGCUGGGAAACAGUUGGAGCAGAUUUUAAGCUUCUUUUCCAGUGCUCUCACCAUGUGGCUGCUCCAUAUCCAUGUUGGUGCAAGGUCAGCAAGGCUGGAUCUGAUCACCGCCGUCUGCUGCUCUUUGCAUGGAGAAUAGGGGUACCAGAGGGACUGCUGCCCUCUCCCUGCUGCAGCACGAUGCUGAGUGGUGGGGCAAAGCAAGGUUUUUGGCCCAGCACUGUUCUUCUCCCUGAUGCUGCAUUUCAUAACUUGAAUGUACUCUUCCUAUCUUCUGCUUCAAGAUGAGAAACCCUGUCCAGGUUGGCAGUACUCCUCCUGACCCUUCAGCCAGGGAGAUCAGCUUAGGAGGGCAGGUAGCAUCAGUGGGUUGGAUCAUCUGGCAGAUGUGCUCACAUGCAGAGGUUAAAUCCAAACCUGAAAAUUGAGCUUGUAUUUAAAAUCCAGGAUCCUAAAGAAAAUGGAAAUAGAGUGAGCCUUUGAUUCAGUUGUAAGGCUGAACCUCUUGAAAGUUAUUUCAAGGAUUUCCUCUUAAAUAGUUACAAUAAAUACCUGCUUUCAAUAUUCACAGUCUGUUUUUGCUGCUGCAUGCAAGGUUUCUAAUCUUCUUUUGUCUUUUCCUGUCAGGAGUCUUCAAGCAUCUUAUUCUGUUCUGACUUGAUUUCUCAGAUGGAAGUAUGCAUCUCAUCCAUGUCUGAGGAGCAAUAUACCACCUCAUCUGUCAACAGCAAGAAACGACAAUAAUUACAAGAAAGUACAGACUAUAUCACAUGCUUUACUAUAACUUAGGGACAAACUUGAAAUUCGCAGAUAAGUUUGAGCAGAUUCUAACCUUUGUUAUGGGAAACAGAGAUCUGAAGUCCACCGAGGCCAAUUAGGUGAUUACUGACUUGGAGCACUUUGAAUCAUCUCCACAAGUAGCACCAUUAGCCCGAGUGACCCAAUCAACUCUCCUGUCUGCAUGUGUUCAAAGAUCUGUCAGCACUGCUCUGAAGAUGUGAGUUUAACUUUGCUCUCAUUUUCUCCUAGGUGAAGGAGAGAAAAUGCUGUAUUUGUUUUUAGAUGUAGUAUACCUGCAUUAUUACAAAAUACCUCUCUCAUUUCACACAGUUGUGAAGUAAAGGAAGUGGAGCACUGCCAAACACACCAAAGUUUUUUUUUUCCAUUUAUUGGUAACAUGAGAGAAGAAAUAAUCCAUUUUAUGUUUUACCAUGCUUGCUUAUCAUCUGAUUUAGUGCUCCUCUGUCAUGGCUAAUUACUCUAAGAUAAUUCUAGUUCUAGGUCUCAAAAUAUAUGAAUAAAACAUGUCUAGGUAUACCAUAUAUGUCAGGAGAGUGCAGAUAUCCACACAAUUGAAGACUUUGGAUUAUAAACUAUGGGAAUGGAUAUGACUAUUACAUGAAAAAUCAAUGAAAUGUUAAUCAGAUAAAGCACGACAGCAGGUGGCCAAGAUAUCAGUAGGGCACAUGUCUUAUAGCGUGUAAAUCUCUCUGCAAACAGGAAGGUCACUUUCAUGGCAUCACUAGAUAUUCUAUGUCACCAAAACAGCCAAAGUCACCAAAAUGUCACCAUGCAAUGCUCUUUAAGCAAGGGUAGGUGCAUUUAAUACUUAACCCAUCCAGUGGCUGCCUUGUCCUGCUUUUCCUUCUGGAAACACACUUUCUAGUCAUGUUGGUGAAGCUUUUUUCUGCCUCAGGUGGGCAACAGUGAAGUCCUGGAGGGCAAAAAAAUCCACCAACCCUCACAACAGAAUUGAAGCUCCUUCUCAACCCAUUAUAAUGUGUUAAAGAAAUCUUACAGCUUUUAUUUCUCUGUUUUGCUUUGGGGAUAUCAGGAGCAUUAAGAGACACACUCUUGUAUCCUCUCCCAGACCUUCUGGGCUUGCUUGCUGCUUAACUAUGCUUCCAAAAGCUGUCCGUGGUUACAGAAACAAAUGUGCAAACUGCACAUGGCAAAGUUGAAUAAAAUGUGAAGUUUCUUACUUCAGAAGUGGAUGCUGCCUUGACUACUUACUGUAAGUGUUUGGAUGAUGGGACAAACCCAGUGCCUUCAUCAGCAUCUUCUGAAGCCCAGGCCCAGGCUCUGCAGGGGGACAGGCCUCUUUGUCACGAUGCACCUCUUGGUGCCCUCUCAGUACCCUGGGUGUUGACCUUCACACAGACUGAAACAUCUCCUCAGUGAUGUUUUGGAUUUCAGGGCCUUUCCUGAGUGGUAUGUUGCUGAAGAGUGGAGUCUGGAGAGAGACAGGCUUUGUUCUUCUCUUGCAAGCUGAGCUCUCCUCCCAUUUCCCGUCACAGAUCCCUUUGCAGGAUAUGUUUUUAUUGCACCCUCGCUCUCUUCGGUUCAUGCAGAGUUGUUCAUUUCCUGACUGUAUGUGACCAUAUGCGUGGCUGUUGUUAGUGGUGUAAAUCCUCAGCCUUCAGCUGAACCAAAAAACCAAAAAUCAGCUUGUGGUGUUUGAUGUGCCGUGCUAAUGGGACAGGGCUGGUUUGAGACUUCUGAUUUGCACAAAACCAAACACUUCAUCUGUGCCUCUAGGAAAUAACAAUAAUUCAUUAACAUCACAACCCUGUGUUUCUUUUUAAACACAGAUGGUAUUUGAUGCAGAGCUCUAGGUUGGUUCUGCAAAAGUAUUUUUUGUUCCUUUUCUUUAAAAGAUAAUGUGUCUCCUUGAUUCUUUUUUCUACUCAAGCAGCUAAGGUUGCUCUGAUAUCAGCUACAGGGGUGAGACAUAAUGUGGAUGGCUGUGAAAUCCCCCUUGACAGCUACAGCCAAAGUGAAAAUAGCUUACAAACAACAAACAGAAAUCUUUCCUCACAUACAGACUGCUUCUGUUUUGUAAUUGUCACUGAUAAACCCAAACACUUCAAGCAGAUAUAGGGCUUUUGAGAGACAGAAAUUCUUCCCUAGAAUCUUUCAAAAUUUGUAAUGUAAAAAGCCAUAUCCCCUGGAGAAUACAACCAAGAGAGCGAUCCGAAAAAGAGUUGCCCUAUCAAAGGUCAAUGAAAUCCAAAAUAACAGUCUGUGGAGGCAGACAGUCUGCAGGGUUUGCCCUCCCCCCUCAUCCCCCGGUCUCCAUUGUUGGCUGGGGAAUGGUGGGGUGUGUUUGUGUGAAAGUGGAGAGAAUGGGGGAAAAACACCAUUGCCAAAGGAGAAGAGCUCUGAGGAAACCUGGCAGGGAUUUUCUUCCCAUUAGUCCUAAUUCCUGUGAUGUAUGGCCAAAGUGGGUACAGAAAACAGAAGGAAACAUGCUGAUAGUAAGGGUAUUUUUCUAGAAGUGCUGGGAAUAGUUAAUGUGUCUUGCUUUUUGUGGUCUCACAUCCUGUUAAGGUUAGUGGAAAUGAAGAAUUGAGAAUGGCAUCCAAGAGGUGGUAAUCUCUGGAGGUGAAUCCUGGUUAUGAGAGGAACAGCCAGGUGGGGGAGGUGUCUCAGUCAUUGCAGGAACCUGGACAAGUAAAUUAGUUUAGAUGCCUAACUUUCAAGCAGCUGCAGUUCACUGAGAUGAAUCUUAGUCUUUCUUUCAGCCAAAGGCUAAUACUCCAGCCUACUGAAUUUUGUGCAGGGAGCCCCAGCUACCUCUGAAUUAAGUGAAACCAUGCACAACAAAGCCAAGAUGUCAGUGUUCUCAUUAAGAUUUGGCUAAAAGUGAUGGGACACCUAGGCACUUAACUGCAUCUAUUUUAGCACAAAGCUUUAGAUGUUUUUAUCCUGCUUGAGCAAUCCCUGCAGAAUCAGCUUUUCUGGAACGUGAAACUCUAUUGGACUGUGUAAACAAACCACAUUCAGCUGAAUGCAAAGCCUCACUACACUUUCAAUUUCUGUAAAUUAUGCAAGGAUAUAAAUGAUGAGUACAUCAGUGAGCUAGACCAGAGGCUGAUUCAUUCAUGUAUUGAUUCAUGCAUGGUUUAUCUUCAUGCCUUGCAGAAAAAGAACAAUUAAAAUGGUUACACUAAGCUAUAAAACUUGAAAAUGGUGUUGGAGGGGGAAGCGUGGUCUUCUGCUUGAAGACUGGCAGAUGAAACCAUAGGUUGCGUAUUAACGAUCUUCUAAUUUGCAUCCCUUUAAAUGUUUCUCAGUUGUGUGUAACCAAACUGGGAAAAAUAAUUAGCUUGAAAUCUAGAGGAAGUUCAGUUCAUAUUUUAUUCCUUUAGUGUCAUGUGUUUGUUCAAUACCCUUUCUUCUUCUUGCCUCAAAAAUAAAAAAAAAAAAAGAAGAAAAAAAGAAAAAGCUAUUUAUGUUUUUAAAUCUUUGUGACAGCAGAAAUAAUAAUGGUAAGAAUUAAUUCUUGUGAUUUGGGAGUGUGGUCAAGCAAUAUUUAGUAUAAAUUUGCAUUAGAGGUUGUAGAUGAGCAAGCGAGAAAACCAGGGAAAGAGGACAUUCAAGUUUCCAAAAAGCAAGAACAAAAAAGAAAGGACAAAGAAAAUAAAUCUAUCCCUUGCAAUGGAUGUAGGAAUGACACAAUUUUCUUCAGUGUGUGGGUGAGUAAACCAUAAUUCUGCACUCUCAUUAUCUGUGGUGAUAAAAUGUUGUCAUUAUAGAAAGAGUAAUUAUUAUUAUUAUUAUUUUAUCUUCAGAAGCCUUCAAGAAACAAAAUAUAUCACAUCAACGGACUGUAUAUAACAGGCAAUUUCUGGAAUCACAAACUGUUUAUCUGUAAGCUUAAACAUAAAUAAAGUCAAUUUACACAAAAGCAAACCAUGUAAUGGAUCUGCUCCUGAUUCUUUCAGCUUCUAUUUUCAUUAGCUAAUGCAGACACUGAGAAAACUGUAUGUUGUUUGUCAUUAAGCAUGCUUUAGUCAUCUGCCACUUUUGCGUUUUUUUGAUUGGCUGCUGCUAAGGGAAAGGAAAGCUCUGUGGUGGUUGUACGUAAGAAAAAUAACUCCAACACUGUGCUGUGGAAAGCUAUGCUUUCAUAUAGCUUCACCUUCACCACCCCCAUGUUAUUAAGUUCUUUUCUUUGGUGGAAUAGUUUUAAGCACAGCAUUAGCAAUACCUACUUUUAUGUACAGAGUUUUGAAUUCAUAGGUUGACUGUCAGCGUAACUCUCUACACCUGGGGUGUUGUGAAGGUAUAGUGGCUGUUCAAAUUGCAUGCAACAGAUUUCACAAAAUUUGACUGCCAAAACUGAUUCAAACACACAAUUUUAUUUUCAAAGGCAACAGACAGGUAAAGCCAGGUUUAAAAUAUUAAUGCUUUCCCCACCCAUCCUUUCUUGUUUGUUUGUUUUAUCUGAUUACAGAUGAGAACACAAGGCUGAACUUGAUUCAGAGUUGCACAGGGAACUCUGACUCCUUGCAGCCCUCAGCAGCAAGGCAGGCUCACAAAUGCCAGCCUUUGUUGACGUUUGAAAUGGAAGCCUCUCAUGCCAGUUGAAGUAUAAAAAAUCUUUCUAAAAAGCCCUAAGGAGCUUUUCAAAAUGCUGCCUAUCCACUUUCCAUGCCUGUACAAAUUUUUGAUAGACAAGGAACACAUAACGUCUUUUCACCAAGCUCAGCAAACAGUGUAUAAACAGUCUAUAUGCCAAGAGUUGGUUCUGUUUUAUCACUCUCAGGAAAAGUAAAAAUGACACAGUGGCAGCAUUUCCUCUCUCUGCAGCAUGGCUCUGCAAAAAUACUCGAAAACCAUCACUUUGCCUUUUAAUGACAUAAUGCAAAGUAUAUACCUGCCAAAAGAACAGAUAAGGUCAAGUAAGAACAUACCCCUUCCACGCUUAGCCUUUUCCCUCAACUUUCAGAGGAAAACCAACUCAAUUCUGUAGUGAACAGUUUUGCAAAUUUCCCAUAUGAGAGAAAAAAAAUAAAAUGCCUAAGAAGCAGAAAAUCGAAGCGUUAAACCUUUGAUCCUGGAUUUGAAGCUAAUCUAUGCAAUUAGCAGUGCUUUUUGUCACAAAAGGAAGAGUCGCAGGAAGAAAGGAUGGCAUAGAGUGCAAAGAAGAAAUCCGGGGAAAAACUGAGAAAAUGAUGCUUCAAUCAUCUUCACAGCCACACAAAUUUUUCCUAAAGAGUAAACAAAGAAGAUGAAAAAAUAUGAGAGAAAGAAGAAGAACAGCAUCAAGCAAACUCCAAACAAUUCUGAACAAUUUCCUCCAGGUUAUCUCACCGUAGGCAAAAUUUAACGCUAUCACAUCAGGGAAGCAAUGUUCAAAGGAGGGGUUCUCAGUGUGCAAGAGCCAUUAUAGGGAUGUGAAUUUGAUUUCCAGCUGUAUACUUUGUUUAUUAACUUCUUCCUAUCUUGACAGGUUGCUUACAUCUCCAGGAGAGUAUUCAGUGGCUAUUUGUUAAUGCAGAUUCCCAUAAGAAUGAAGAACUUCUUAGACCUGGCAGACCCAGUGCAUGGAUUAAGUGCUGUCAGAUAAGGAGGUAGUUUAAUGCAUCUUCUCUGAUGGAGCAGAAACAUCCACAUGAAGUGAAGCACCUUUGUGAUUAUCCAUAGGUACCAGUAAACUUUCCCCAAGAGCCUUGCAAGAAUCACCUUUAAGAAACCAUUGGGCAAUUUGGGAACCUUUGCCAGUCCUACCUUACAGCCAACUUUGUGCAUGGUGGAUAGGUAGAGUCUCUAGGUGUUCUUAAAAGUAUUACUGAAAUUUAUACAAAGUGAAAAGAUGAAUGUCUUAUUUAAAAGUAUGUGCAAAUGGGGUGAACAGCUUUGUACCUAUUUUGUUUAGCAGAAAAUGGCCAUUAUAACUUUCAUGAUUUUCACAGGUUAAAAAAAAAGGCCAUUUCUGUAGAAUCAUAGAAUCACAGAAUGGCCUGGGUUGAAAAGGAC
This 26916-nucleotide long non-coding RNA is filed under the name Gallus gallus (chicken). The record is from RNAcentral. Lineage: Eukaryota; Metazoa; Chordata; Aves; Galliformes; Phasianidae.